This 75-nucleotide transfer RNA is filed under the name Micromonosporaceae bacterium. RNAcentral describes it as "tRNA-Ile". Lineage: Bacteria; Bacillati; Actinomycetota; Actinomycetes; Micromonosporales; Micromonosporaceae. The record is from RNAcentral.
GCGCCGGAGCCCACCUGGUUGGUGGGACCUGCCUUAUACGCAGGCUGCGGUCGGGUUCGAUCCCCACCCGGCGCA